GGAGUUAGCCGGUGCUUCUUCUGUGAGUGAUGUCCUUCCUGCCGGUUAUUGACCCGCAGGCCUUCUUCCUCACUGAAAGUGCUUUACAACCCGAAGGCCUUCUUCACACACGCGGCAUGGCUGGAUCAGGGUUGCCCCCAUUGUCCAAUAUUCCCCACUGCUGCCUCCCGUAGGAGUCUGGGCCGUGUCUCAGUCCCAGUGUGGCUGAUCAUCCUCUCAGACCAGCUACGGAUCGUCGCCUUGGUGAGCCGUUACCUCACCAACCAGCUAAUCCGACAUAGGCUCAUCCGAUAGCGCGAGGCCCGAAGGUCCCCCGCUUUCCCCCGUAGGGCGUAUGCGGUAUUAGCCUGGGUUUCCCCAGGGUUACUCCCCCACUACCGGGCAGAUUCCUAUGCAUUACUCACCCGUCCGCCGCUCGCCACCAGGGAGCAAGCUCCCCGUGCUGCCGCUCGACUUGCAUGUGUUAGGCCUGCCGCCAGCGUUCAAUCUGAGCCAGGAUCAAACUCUGA
Molecule: ribosomal RNA, 509 nt
Filed under: uncultured bacterium
Lineage: Bacteria
Description: partial 16S ribosomal RNA
Source: RNAcentral